Molecule: ribosomal RNA, 268 nt
Filed under: uncultured bacterium
Lineage: Bacteria
Description: partial 16S ribosomal RNA
Rfam family: Bacterial small subunit ribosomal RNA
Source: RNAcentral
CGGAUACAACGAGUCGCAAGCUCGCGAGAGUAAGCUAAUCUCUUAAAGCCGUUCUCAGUUCGGACUGUAGGCUGCAACUCGCCUACACGAAGUCGGAAUCGCUAGUAAUCGCGGAUCAGCAUGCCGCGGUGAAUACGUUCCCGGGCCUUGUACACACCGCCCGUCACACCAUGGGAGUUUGUAACGCCCAAAGUCGGUGGCCUAACCUUUAUGGAGGGAGCCGCCUAAGGCGGGACAGAUGACUGGGGCGAAGUCGUAACAAGGUAGC